GAUGAGCUCAUGUCCUAUUAGCUAGUUGGUGGGGUAAUGGCCUACCCAGGCGAAGAUGGGUAGCUGGUCUGAGAGGACGAUCAGCCACACUGGAACUGAGACACGGUCCAGACUCCUACCGGAGGCAGCAGUGGGGAAUAUUGCGCAAUGGGCGAAAGCCCUGACGCAGCAACGCCGCCGUGAGUGAUGAAGGCCUUCGGGUUGUAAAGCUCUUUCGGCCGGGAAGAAGGGUGUUAGUUUUAAUAGAGCUAAUAUUUGAUGGUACCGGAAGAAGAAGCACCGGCUAACUUCGUGCCAGCAGCCGCGGUAAUACGAAGGGUGCGAGCGUUGUUCGGAAUUACUGGGCGUAAAGGGUUUCGUAGCGGGAGUGUAAGUCGUAUGUGAAAUCCCCGAGCUUAACUUGGGACGUGCAUACGAG
This 418-nucleotide ribosomal RNA is filed under the name uncultured bacterium. Its description in RNAcentral is "partial 16S ribosomal RNA". It matches the Rfam family "Bacterial small subunit ribosomal RNA", at positions 224 to 631 of the family's 1533-position model. The record is from RNAcentral.